RNAcentral lists this ribosomal RNA (200 nucleotides) under uncultured bacterium. RNAcentral's name for it is "partial 16S ribosomal RNA". It matches the Rfam family "Bacterial small subunit ribosomal RNA", at positions 328 to 539 of the family's 1533-position model. The record is from RNAcentral.
ACGCUCGACACCUACGGGGGGCAGCAGUGGGGAAUAUUGGGCAAUGGGCGCAAGCCUGACCCAGCAACGCCGCGUGAAGGAAGAAGGCUUUCGGGUUGUAAACUUCUUUUGUCAGGGACGAAGACGUGACGGUACCUGACGAAUAAGCUCCGGCUAACUACGUGCCAGCAGCCGCGGUAAUCUGAGCGGGCUGGCAAGGC